GAUGAACGCUAGCUACAGGCUUAACACAUGCAAGUCGAGGGGCAGCACGAAGAUAGCUUGCUAUCUUGGGUGGCGACCGGCGCACGGGUGAGUAACGCGUAUCCAACCUGCCCAUUACUCUGGGAUAGCCUUGCGAAAGUAAGAUUAAUACCUGAUGGUGUUCAAAUUCCGCAUGUUAUUUGAACUAAAGAUUUAUCGGUAACGGAUGGGGAUGCGUGACAUUAGAUAGUAGGCGGGGUAACGGCCCACCUAGUCUACGAUGUCUAGGGGUUCUGAGAGGAAGGUCCCCCACACUGGAACUGAGACACGGUCCAGACUCCUACGGGAGGCAGCAGUGAGGAAUAUUGGUCAAUGGACGAGAGUCUGAACCAGCCAAGUAGCGUGCAGGAAGACGGCCCUCUGGGGUUGUAAACUGCUUUUAGUUGGGAAUAAAAAGNGGGACGUGUCCCUAAUUGUAUGUACCAUCAGAAAAAGGCCGGCUAAUUCCGUG
RNAcentral lists this ribosomal RNA (490 nucleotides) under uncultured bacterium. RNAcentral describes it as "bacterial SSU rRNA". It matches the Rfam family "Bacterial small subunit ribosomal RNA", at positions 28 to 507 of the family's 1533-position model. The record is from RNAcentral.